GACUAUUCAUUCACCCAAACUCUUCAUAGUAGUCCAUAAAUCAUAAUCCAUAUCAAAAUCAAUUGUUUGCCACAUGGACGUCGUAUCGGGUCGGGUCAAAACUAAAUGGAAAACUUGAAGAAAAAGCGGUUGGAGGUAACAGACGGUAGAUUAUCCGGCAAGAAAAUCAGGUCCAAGAAAGAGCGGUCUAACGGCGGAGUAACGGCUGAUGACGCUGAGUUGGACGAAUUUUUGGCUAUUUUAAACCGGUUACAAGCCGGUUUUAAUCAUUUUCGGGAGAAAAGUACCGGUAAGGCUGCCGUUAAACCACCGGCGACAUUUGAGUUGGGUGACUUUAGUUUCCAAGAUGGUGGGAGGAAAAUAAGUACUGGAGAUACACUACAGAACGAUGAUGUUGUCGGAUUUGAUCUUAAUGCCGAUCCGGUAUUUGAUUAGAAAUCCGGUUGAACCGUCCGAUAGAACCGGUUAAACCUCCGGUACAACCGGUUGAACCGCUUGAUACAUCCAAUUAAACUAUUUCAGAGCCAAAUCUGAUACGGUAUAAAAACCGAAAUUUAAAAGAUUGGUUAAUUAUGGUUUUUUGGGUGGGUUGGUUAGCAAAUUGACGUAUGUUUUUUUUAUUAUUGUGGUUUCUUGGUCAGCAUAUUGACCUUUGUUUGUUGUUGGUUUAAUAAUAAAUGUAUUAUGUGCAUUAAAGCUUGUGUCAUAAUGCAAGCAAAGAAUUACGUGUAUGUAACUAACAUGACCAAUUCAACGUUAUAUAAUUUGUAACUU
Molecule: long non-coding RNA, 774 nt
Organism: Helianthus annuus (common sunflower)
Lineage: Eukaryota; Viridiplantae; Streptophyta; Magnoliopsida; Asterales; Asteraceae
Exons: 2
Source: RefSeq, a predicted model, not a curated record